Molecule: ribosomal RNA, 484 nt
Filed under: uncultured Pseudomonadota bacterium
Lineage: Bacteria; Pseudomonadati; Pseudomonadota
Description: bacterial SSU rRNA
Rfam family: Bacterial small subunit ribosomal RNA
Source: RNAcentral
UGGGGAAUAUUGGACAAUGGGCGCAAGCCUGAUCCAGCCAUGCCGCGUGAGUGAUGAAGGCCUUAGGGUUGUAAAGCUCUUUCGGCGGGGACGAUAAUGACGGUACCCGCAGAAGAAGCCCCGGCUAACUUCGUGCCAGCAGCCGCGGUAAUACGAAGGGGGCUAGCGUUGUUCGGAAUCACUGGGCGUAAAGGGCGCGUAGGCGGCUUUGUAAGUCGGGGGUGAAAGCCUGUGGCUCAACCACAGAAUUGCCUUCGAUACUGCAUGGCUUGAGACCGGAAGAGGUAAGUGGAACUGCGAGUGUAGAGGUGAAAUUCGUAGAUAUUCGCAAGAACACCAGUGGCGAAGGCGGCUUACUGGUCCGGUUCUGACGCUGAGGCGCGAAAGCGUGGGGAGCAAACAGGAUUAGAUACCCUGGUAGUCCACGCCGUAACGAUGAAUGCCAGCCGUUGGGCAGCUUGCUGCUCAGUGGCGCAGCUAACGU